UUUUUUAAGAGUUUGAUCCUGGCUCAGGAUGAACGCUGGCUGUGUGCCUAAUACAUGCAUGUCGAGCGGGGUUUUUUAAACCUAGCGGCGAAUGGGUGAGUAACACGUGCUUAAUCUACCUUUUAGAUUGGAAUACCUGAUGGAAACAUUAGUUAAUGCCGGAUACGCAUGGAAUCGCAUGAUUCCGUUGUGAAAGGGGCCUCAAAGCCCCACUAAGAGAUGAGGGUGCGGAACAUUAGUUAG
This is a ribosomal RNA of 243 nucleotides. It matches the Rfam family "Bacterial small subunit ribosomal RNA", at positions 1 to 248 of the family's 1533-position model.